GAAAGUCACGAAUAUGAAUCAAGCCUUAACUGUGGACUAAUAACUCUUAAUGGUAAGCCUGACAGGAGUGCAGAAAAACUCUGCAAGUCGCAACUUAUAAUCAUGAUUUGCAGAGCACAUCGUGACUGAACACGACACAACAUUAUUUUCAUACAUGUCAACUUUUGGAUACUUUAACAUGACACAGCAACUUUCAGUUGCUCAGUAUUCAUUGUUUUCAUCAAUUUCAU
Molecule: unclassified non-coding RNA, 230 nt
Filed under: Hevea brasiliensis (rubber tree)
Lineage: Eukaryota; Viridiplantae; Streptophyta; Magnoliopsida; Malpighiales; Euphorbiaceae
Source: RNAcentral